GCGGUCAUAACUCAGUUGGUUAGAGUGUCAGAUUGUGGCUUUGGAAGUCACGGGUUCAAGUCCCGUUGUCCGCC
This 74-nucleotide transfer RNA is filed under the name Schizocladia ischiensis. RNAcentral's name for it is "tRNA-His". It matches the Rfam family "tRNA". Rfam says of the family: Transfer RNA (tRNA) molecules are approximately 80 nucleotides in length. Their secondary structure includes four short double-helical elements and three loops (D, anti-codon, and T loops). Lineage: Eukaryota; Schizocladiophyceae; Schizocladiales; Schizocladiaceae. The record is from RNAcentral.